Small nucleolar RNA from Atta cephalotes, 218 nucleotides. It matches the Rfam family "Small nucleolar RNA U3". From Rfam's summary of the family: Small nucleolar RNAs (snoRNAs) are involved in the processing and modification of rRNA in the nucleolus. There are two main classes of snoRNAs: the box C/D class, and the box H/ACA class. NCBI's taxonomy places the organism in Eukaryota, Metazoa, Arthropoda, Insecta, Hymenoptera, Formicidae. The record is from Rfam.
AAGAUCAUACUUCACAGGAUCAGUUCUGUAGGAGUUGAUCUCAUUCUCCCUCCCUAACAUGGGAGUUGAUGUAACCAUGAUGAGGAGAAAUAGCCCUCUUCUCUGAGCGUGAGAACGACACGAAUUCUCGAUUUUUUUUCGAGAUUUUCUGUCAUCAAUGAUCGUUCACCCUUCGCAUUCAAUGUGAAGGGGAUGGGAAGAAGGGCGUUCUGAGUGGU